GAAUAGAUAAUUUACUAUAAAAUAUAACACUGAAAAUGUUAAAAAGGCUAAAAGCCUCUCUUCA
RNAcentral lists this transfer RNA (64 nucleotides) under Physunio superbus. Its description in RNAcentral is "tRNA-Phe". Lineage: Eukaryota; Metazoa; Mollusca; Bivalvia; Unionida; Unionidae. The record is from RNAcentral.